This 507-nucleotide ribosomal RNA is filed under the name uncultured Glomus. RNAcentral's name for it is "SSU rRNA". It matches the Rfam family "Eukaryotic small subunit ribosomal RNA", at positions 569 to 1080 of the family's 1831-position model. The record is from RNAcentral. Lineage: Eukaryota; Fungi; Glomeromycota; Glomeromycetes; Glomerales; Glomeraceae.
AGCAGCCGCGGUAAUUCCAGCUCCAAUAGCGUAUAUUAAAGUUGUUGCAGUUAAAAAGCUCGUAGUUGAAUUUCGGGAUCAAUAUGUUGGUCGUGCCUCGGUACGUACUAGCUUAUUGGUUUCUCCUUUCUGAAGAACCAUGAUGUCAUUUAUUUGGUGUCGUGGGGAAUCAGGACUGUUACUUUGAAAAAAUUAGAGUGUUUAAAGCAGGCUCACGCUUGAAUACAUUAGCAUGGAAUAAUGAAAUAGGACGUUUGAUUCUAUUUUGUUGGUCUCUAGGAUCGACGUAAUGAUUAAUAGGGAUAGUUGGGGGCAUUAGUAUUCAAUUGUCAGAGGUGAAAUUCUUGGAUUUAUUGAAGACUAACUACUGCGAAAGCAUUUGCCAAGGAUGUUUUCAUUAAUCAAGAACGAAAGUUAGGGGAUCGAAGACGAUCAGAUACCGUCGUAGUCUUAACCAUAAACUAUGCCGACUAGGGAUCGGAUGAUGUUAAUUUUUAAUGACUCAUU